This 539-nucleotide ribosomal RNA is filed under the name Mycoplasma wenyonii. RNAcentral describes it as "bacterial SSU rRNA". It matches the Rfam family "Bacterial small subunit ribosomal RNA", at positions 361 to 898 of the family's 1533-position model. The record is from RNAcentral. Lineage: Bacteria; Bacillati; Mycoplasmatota; Mollicutes; Mycoplasmatales; Mycoplasmataceae.
AUUUUUCACAAUGGACGAAAGUCUGAUGGAGCAAUACCACGUGAACGAUGAAGGUCUUCUGAUUGUAAAGUUCUUUUAUUUAGGAAAAAAAGCGUGCUAGGAAAUGAGCGCGCCUUGAUGGUACUAAUUGAAUAAGUGACAGCUAACUAUGUGCCAGCAGCUGCGGUAAAACAUAGGUCACGAGCAUUAUCCGGAUUUAUUGGGCGUAAAGGAAGCGUAGGCGGGGAGGUUGAUCCAUUGUUAAAAGCAUUUGCUUAACAAAUGUGUGCAUUGGAGAUCGCCUCCCUAGAGUUAAUCAGGGGGUACUGGAAUUCAAUGUGUAGCGGUGGAAUGCGUAGAUAUAUUGAGGAACACCAGAGGCUAAGGCGAGUGCCUAGGAUAUAACUGACGCUGAGGCUUGAAAGCGUGGGGAGCAAAUGGGAUUAGAUACCCCAGUAGUCCACGCCGUAAACGAUGAGCAUUGGGCAUUUGACAUCUGGUCGAGUGCUGUAGCUAACGCGUUAAAUGCUCCGCCUGGGUAGUAUAUAUGCAAAUAUGAA